This 30-nucleotide unclassified non-coding RNA is filed under the name Dictyostelium discoideum. The record is from RNAcentral. Lineage: Eukaryota; Evosea; Eumycetozoa; Dictyosteliales; Dictyosteliaceae.
UGAAACCUAGUUUGACAAGACUGUAGGCAC